GGACGCAUCACUGGUGUUCGGGUUGUCAUGCCAAUGGCACUGCCCGGUAGCUAAAUGCGGAAGAGAUAAGUGCUGAAAGCAUCUAAGCACGAAACUUGCCCCGAGAUGAGUUCUCCCUGACUCCUUGAGAGUCCUGAAGGAACGUUGAAGACGACGACGUUGAUAGGCCGGGUGUGUAAGCGCAGCGAUGCGUUGAGCUAACCGGUACUAAUGAACCGUGAGGCUUAACCUUACAACGCCGAAG
RNAcentral lists this ribosomal RNA (244 nucleotides) under Escherichia coli. RNAcentral's name for it is "partial 23S ribosomal RNA". It matches the Rfam family "Bacterial large subunit ribosomal RNA", at positions 2699 to 2925 of the family's 2925-position model. The record is from RNAcentral. Lineage: Bacteria; Pseudomonadati; Pseudomonadota; Gammaproteobacteria; Enterobacterales; Enterobacteriaceae.